Molecule: ribosomal RNA, 253 nt
Filed under: uncultured bacterium
Lineage: Bacteria
Description: partial 16S ribosomal RNA
Rfam family: Bacterial small subunit ribosomal RNA
Source: RNAcentral
GACGAACCGAGCGAACGUUGUUCGGAAUCACUGGGCUUAGAGGGCGCGUAGGCGGACUAUCGAGUCCCGGGUGAAAUCCUCCAGCUUAACUGGAGAACGGCCUCGGAUACUGAUGGUCUCGAGGAAGAUAGGGGCACGCGGAACUGUGGGUGGAGCGGUGAAAUGCGUUGAUAUCCAUAGGAACUCCGGUGGCGAAGGCGGCGUGCUGGAUCUUUUCUGACGCUGAGGCGCGAAAGCCAGGGGAGCGAACGGG